Molecule: ribosomal RNA, 2106 nt
Filed under: Naemacyclus fimbriatus
Lineage: Eukaryota; Fungi; Ascomycota; Leotiomycetes; Helotiales
Description: partial 28S large subunit ribosomal RNA
Rfam family: Eukaryotic large subunit ribosomal RNA
Source: RNAcentral
CAGGGAUUGCCUUAGUAACGGCGAGUGAAGCGGCAACAGCUCAAAUUUGAAAUCUGGCUCUCGGGCCCGAGUUGUAAUUUGUAGAGGAUGCUUAGGGUGUGGUUCUAGUCUAAGUUCCUUGGAACAGGACGUCAUAGAGGGUGAGAAUCCCGUAUGUGACUGGUAACCUUCGCCCGUGUUAAGCUCCUUCGACGAGUCGAGUUGUUUGGGAAUGCAGCUCUAAAUGGGUGGUAAAUUUCAUCUAAAGCUAAAUACUGGCCAGAGACCGAUAGCGCACAAGUAGAGUGAUCGAAAGAUGAAAAGCACUUUGGAAAGAGAGUUAAAUAGUACGUGAAAUUGUUGAAAGGGAAGCGCUUGCAACCAGACUUGCACAUGGUUGAUCAUCCAGUGUUCUCACUGGUGCACUCGAUUAUGUUCAGGCCAGCAUCAGUUCUGGUGGUUGGAUAAAGGUUUAAGGAAUGUAGCUUCUUUCGGGAAGUGUUAUAGCCUUAAACGCAAUGCAGCCAACUGGGACUGAGGACCGCGCUUCGGCUAGGAUGCUGGCGUAAUGGUUGUAAGCGACCCGUCUUGAAACACGGACCAAGGAGUCGAACAUUUAUGCGAGUGUUUGGGUAUUAAACCCAUACGCGUAAUGAAAGUGAACGGAGGUGAGAACCCUUAAGGGUGCAUCAUCGACCGAUCCUGAUGUCUUCGGAUGGAUUUGAGUAAGAGCAUAACUGUUCGGACCCGAAAGAUGGUGAACUAUGCGUGAUUAGGGUGAAGCCAGAGGAAACUCUGGUGGAGGCUCGUAGGGGUUCUGACGUGCAAAUCGAUCUCAAAAAUUGCGUAUAGGGGCGAAAGACUAAUCGAACCAUGAGAAUAAGUACUAGGUGGUUAAAAGGCUGCUCAAAGUGCUGCUUCUAGUUCCCAUCUCAGGGGCAACAUUGUCAAUUGCGGGGGAAUUCUACUCCAAACACUUAGGCUACCGCAGCACCUUCGAAAGAGGGUAAUGCACCAGGUUAACGACCUCGGGUAUGGUAACAACGCCUAAGUGGGAAUGAUCCGCAGCGAAUUCCUAAGGGUAAUACACCUAUGGAUGAAGCCCACAGACUCGAUGAUAGUGGGCACAGGCUUUAGACAGCCUGUGUUUAAGAUAGAGUCGAAUCCGCCAAUUGAACUUGGUCGGGGAGGUCAAGAAGCAAGUUGAGACACGCUGUUACAGCGUGCUUGCCUUCUGGAGCCUCUCUGGGGUCACUAUUACAGUGGCCUGGAGAGAAUUAGUUUAGGCUUUUUUUCAGCAAUGCUAGUAGCUGGUUCCUGCCGAAGUUUCCCUCAGGAUAGCAGUGUUGUUUUCAGUUUUAUGAGGUAAAGCGAAUGAUUAGAGGCCUUGGGGUUGAAACAACCUUAACCUAUUCUCAAACUUUAAAUAUGUAAGAAGUCCUUGUUACUUAAUUGAACGUGGACAUUCGAAUGUACCAACACUAGUGGGCCAUUUUUGGUAAGCAGAACUGGCGAUGCGGGAUGAACCGAACGUGAAGUUAAGGUGCCGGAAUAUACGCUCAUCAGACACCAUUCUUGUGGUGUCGAGUUAGUCCCUCGGGGCAAGGUCUUUGAACUGCGAGGAGUGUUUAAAAGCUCACCCGCAGCUGUUCCCUCCCUGGAGGGUUUCAGUUCACAGAUUAAGUGAAGGCCGGUACAGGCCUAAGAGAGCCUGUACUUGAGAUAUAAUCGGCUUUUAGGUGCGAGCCUAGGAACUCAGCGCAAAAGGUGUUAGUUCAUCUAGACAGCCUGACGGUGGCCAUGGAAGUCGGAAUCCGCUAAGAAGUGUGUAAGCUGUUGCACACCAUAGCAUUAUGCUAACGGGCUUCUCCCGUAACAGCUCUAGUAUGCAGGAAAGCAUCUUCGGGUGCUAUCUGCAGCAGUGUUACCACUGUUUACAGGCUAGACGGAGCUGGCUGCAGGGUCUUCCCUCAGUAAAGAUAUAGUCGCUUGAGGCUCUGAAGAGAGUCUACAGCAUAGAACAACUUACAGGCCGAAUGAACUAGCCCUGAAAAUGGAUGGCGCUUAAGCGUAUUACCCAUACUUCACCGCUAGGGUANAAACGAUGCCCUAGCGAGUAGGCAGGCG